Molecule: transfer RNA, 77 nt
Filed under: Bacillota bacterium
Lineage: Bacteria; Bacillati; Bacillota
Description: tRNA-Pro
Rfam family: tRNA
About the family: Transfer RNA (tRNA) molecules are approximately 80 nucleotides in length. Their secondary structure includes four short double-helical elements and three loops (D, anti-codon, and T loops).
Source: RNAcentral
CGGGGUGUGGCGCAGUUUGGGAGCGCGUCUGCUUUGGGAGCAGAAGGCCCAGGGUUCAAAUCCCUGCACCCCGACCA